ACCUGACUGCUAUCGGAUUGAUACUAAGCCAUGCGAGUCAUUGUAGCAAUACAAGGCAUACGGCUCAGUAACGCGUAGUCAACCUAACCUAUGGACGGGAAUAACCUCGGGAAACUGAGAAUAAUGCCCGAUAGAACAUUAUACCUGGAAUGGUUUAUGUUCCAAAUGAUUUAUCGCCAUAGGAUGGGACUGCGGCCUAUCAGUUUGUUGGUGAGGUAAUGGCCCACCAAGACUAUUACAGGUACGGGCUCUGAGAGGAGUAGCCCGGAGAUGGGUACUGAGACACGGACCCAGGCCCUAUGGGGCGCAGCAGGCGAGAAAACUUUGCAAUGUGCGAAAGCACGACAAGGUUAAUCCGAGUGAUUUCUGCUAAAGAGAUCUUUUGUUAGUCCUAGAAACACUAACGAAUAAGGGGUGGGCAAGUUCUAGUGUCAGCCGCCGCGGUAAAACCAGCACCUCAAGUGGUCAGGAUGAUUAUUGGGCCUAAAGCAUCCGUAGCCGGCUCUGUAAGUUUUCGGUUAAAUCUGUACGCUCAACGUACAGGCUGCCGGGAAUACUGCAGAACUAGGGAGUGGGAGAGGUAGACGGUACUCGGUAGGAAGUGGUAAAAUGCUUUGAUCUAUCGAUGACCACCUGUGGCGAAGGCGGUCUACCAGAACACGUCCGACGGUGAGGGAUGAAAGCUGGGGGAGCAAACCGGAUUAGAUACCCGGGUAGUCCCAGCUGUAAACUAUGCAAACUCAGUGAUGCAUUGGCUUGUGGCCAAUGCAGUGCUGCAGGGAAGCCGUUAAGUUUGCCGCCUGGGAAGUACGUACGCAAGUAUGAAACUUAAAGGAAUUGGCGGGGGAGCACCACAAGGGGUGAAGCCUGCGGUUC
This 876-nucleotide ribosomal RNA is filed under the name uncultured euryarchaeote. RNAcentral's name for it is "bacterial SSU rRNA". It matches the Rfam family "Archaeal small subunit ribosomal RNA", at positions 21 to 903 of the family's 1478-position model. Lineage: Archaea; Methanobacteriati; Methanobacteriota. The record is from RNAcentral.